UACGGGGGGGGCAAGCGUUGUUCGGAAUUACUGGGCGUAAAGGGCUCGUAGGUGGCCAACUAAGUCAGACGUGAAAUCCCUCGGCUUAACCGGGGAACUGCGUCUGAUACUGGAUGGCUUGAGUUCGGGAGAGGGAUGCGGAAUUCCAGGUGUAGCGGUGAAAUGCGCAGAAUAUCAGGAGGAACACCAACGGCGAAGGCAGGCACUCGUGGGCCGGAUA
Molecule: ribosomal RNA, 220 nt
Filed under: uncultured bacterium
Lineage: Bacteria
Description: partial 16S ribosomal RNA
Rfam family: Bacterial small subunit ribosomal RNA
Source: RNAcentral